This is a long non-coding RNA of Oryza sativa Japonica Group (Japanese rice), 3732 nucleotides long. RefSeq lists it as uncharacterized. NCBI's taxonomy places the organism in Eukaryota, Viridiplantae, Streptophyta, Magnoliopsida, Poales, Poaceae. The record is from RefSeq and is a predicted model, not a curated record.
UAUAGCAAACCAGUUAUAUGCUAGCUUUUGCUUAGCCCUGCCUAGUUAGAUUGCAUAAAACAUAAUGAACUUAGAUUGGGACAGUACGCAAGAUUUGGUUGAUUUCCGGGUGGCUAGUACUGUCUCGGUCGAUAUAAGUUUACCAAGUACUUAUGUCAAACGAACGAGUACGACCGCAGCUUCUAGAAUGGGGACAGACCUAGAUAUUAUGUUAAUUAACAAUGUGGUACCUCUGUACAGUGGUUCUUAUGUAAGUCCUCGCGAAGGAGGCAAAUAUAUGCCGCGAAGGGCAAAUGUGAUAUUUACCGAGGCGCAGGUAAAUAUCUUGAUUAUCGCGCGAUGUGUGUGUGAAUUUAUGAAAACCUGGUUGAGAUGACAUGGGGUCUCUCAUCCAGUUCUCUCUAAAAACCCCGGGAACGCCAGAACUCCUCUCGCUGCUGAUAACGUUACAUUCAGAGCGCAUGGGGAUUAGAGUUCAUGGAACAGGUGCCACAAUUGUUAAUAACCUAAUACUGGGCCAUGACUAAGCUAAUGAUUAUUGGCAAGUCGUGGACUGCGGGUAAAGCGUACAUCUACUGCAGUAUGAAUAUCCUUGAAUCUAUUCGAAUAGCCGUGCUCACGGAUUGAGCAUCGGGACUCAUAUGGUACUUUGGUUAGAAAUAUAAUUCAAGAUUUUCUUAAAUACUGUUGCAUAUCAAGCAUUUCAGGAUUUCUACCUCUUUAUUCUCAGCUUUCUGCAAGUAAACCUAGCUCUACACAGAUAUUACCAUUUCAUAUAUUCAUUAUUGGUUAAUAUAAUAGCUUGCUGAGUACGUUGUACUCACCCUUGCUUCAACCCCUCUUUUUCAGAGUUUAAUUGGAGUUUUUGCCGAAGCUGGGAGUUCAAUCACAUAAGUUAGUUCCCUUUAAACCUAAUCUUCAAGUCUAGUGUAGUUAGAUGGUUUAAGUCUAUAGCAAAACAUUAGGAUUAAGUCAUUCUAUAGCUUCUGUUGUAUUAGUUAGCCACAAACUUGUAAAUGUCCUAUUAUUUUAUAAUAUAAACCCCUUUGGAGCCUUAUUCAAAUGUAUGCGAUGAAGAUCCAGAUUGUUGAACCUGUAUCAAUCUACUGAUCCAGGGCUUGAUACAGUAUAAACAUGUCGGUUUCCGAAUCAUUAGUUUUGGGAUCCGACACUAUUGGUGCCGGCUUUUUAUGAACUGGCAUCAAUGAGUGACUAUUUGUGUCGGGUUUUAUUUGUAGAUCCAUAGAAAGGUGAGGAAAACCUCAUAUGUGUCGGGGCUUUUAUGUACCGACAUCUAUGAUGACGUUUUCUAUUAAUUUUUUUUAUUGUGAUAAUUGGUCCUGCCCUUUUUGUCCAUGUUGCACAUGCCCAUAUGAUUCUAAUUUGUCAGUGUGUACUACCAACCACAUCACUUGCUAUCAAUCAUCCUAGCCAUUUAGCCAAUUGUUACAACUUAGUUACUGUUGACACAUGCUGUUGCUAAAGCUUACUAAUUAUACUCCUCUGCUCUGUGUUACACCUGCCCCUGCGUUUCUGAAAUAAAUAUUAUAGGAUUUAAAUUAUAUAUACAAUAUAAAUAAGCAAUUUGAGGCACCAUUUUUAAUGCAUAAAAAUAUAAGUAUUUUCAGCCAAUCAUGUGCUUAAGAUGAGAAUCCAAUUUUUUAAAAAAUUUAACAAAUGAGAUGACUAAAAGAGAUUAUUUUUCCCUUAACUUUAUUCUUACUUAAAUAUAUUUAGAAACGAAGGGAGUACCUUAAUUGGGACUAGAUAUGUUGAAUCCCAAAAGUUGGCUAAUUUUAUGUUUAGUCAAUUUUACUAUAUGAACUAUUUAUAUAUUUGUUUCCCCUGCCAAGACCAUGACUUUUACACCCAUGGACAAGAAUAGUUGUAGCAAUCAUAAAUGGGGCCAACUAUUUUUUUUAAUCAAACCUGAUGAUUGGAUUGUCACGUGUGCAGUACGUAGGACCAAAACCACCCCAUACUAGGAUGGGUGUUGUAUUUUGUCUAAAUUAAAUAGUUCAGUGGAGUAAUUUGUCUGGUUUCAUACUCGAGGGAUAAAUCGUAUUUGCACGGUUAAUCGGACUUAAUCCAUAUAAAUAAAAGAAUUACACAUUUACAUGUGAGAAGAUAAAUAAAUGCCUAGCCAUUCUAAUAUGUGAGGGUGAUAUCUACCUUUUGCUCUAUGAAUAACCAAGGCAAAUUAUGCUAAAAACACAUAUACUACAACAAAAUGGUCCCAUUAAGACGUUUCUCUCUAGACGCUUUCAAACACGUCUCUGAAUUUGGGAUGAGGUAGCAUAUAAAGACGCUUCCUGAGAGCAAGUUCAAUAGUAUAGCCAACUACUAGCUCCAAUUCAUCUAUAGCCAAUCUAAUAGCUCAUUCAUACAAUAGUUACAUACUACACUGUUAAUACCUAGUCCCACCUGUCAUAGACACACUGCGUCUUGGAGUCCAUGCAACAGCUGGCAACAAAUCUGUAGCCCGCUGCUCUUCUCUCUCCUGAUUUAUCUCCUUAAAAUAUGUUUGCAGCUGGCUUAUAGCUUACUAUUGUACCUGCUCUGAGACGGUUUACAAGUCGCCACAAAAUUUCCAGGGUAAAGACACUUUAUUGACGUCUUAGGCCCUGUUUCUUUCAGCUUGAGAUUAUUAUAAUCCAGACUAUUGGGAGGAAGCUGAAAGAAACAGACAACUUAUUGAAGUAGCUUAUUAUAAUCUGAAGCUCAGCUUAUUAUAAUCUGAUAACCUCAUUUAGGUGAGCUUUUUCCAGAUUAUUGGGUGAAAAAUUACCCACCAUGCCACCCACUCCCUCUUUAGACUUGCAAACCCAAUAAUUUAGGCUCUAAUAAUGUAGGAAAGAAACAAUUAACCGCUUAUUCUACUACAGAUUAUAACAAUCUAGCUUAUAGUAAUCUGACUCAGUAAUCUAAAUUAUAAUAAUCCCAAGCUGAAAGAAACAGGGCCUUAAUCACCAAAGCAACGUUGUAGGUCCGAGAAGCCCAAUUCCAACAAUCCAAAGCCCACCUAUUCGUUGUUGUUCGUUAAUAUUAAUCCAAGCAGCCCAAUACCGAUCAUUCUAAUCAGUAGCCCUAGGUUAGAAGUCCUACCGUCUCCAUCCCUGCGAGUCCCACUACGCCGCCGGCAGACGGUUAGGUGCGAGAUGAAGCGAUGGCGCACGGCCAUGACCGUGAUACGGUGGCUCCGAUGUCAAGCAUCCAAAUCAUUCGAAGAUGCGGUAGUUGCGAUACGGGCGGCGGCCGUGUGGCAACGCAUCGAUGGCAAACUGCCGUGAUGCGGUGGCCGCGACGGCAAGUCGGCACUCAUCCAGGUCACCGGGACGUGGGCAGGAGCUGCGUGUCCUUGAGCAGCGGCUGUGAAGUCGUGAUGCACAACGAUCUGUUGCUGCUCACUUAAUUUGUCAGAUGCGUAAAGAAAUCUUAAAUCUUAUGAAGGGUUCGUUGCAUAGAACCUUCGGUGAAGCCAGCGCCAAUCCGAAAUGCAGCUGGAGAUUAUAAAUGAAGAUAAUUGCAGUCAAGAAGAAAGGCGCAAAAGCAAGUAUUAGUAGUGUACGGCUAGGAAAUUUUUUGAAGUGUGUGCUUGAUCGAAUCACUAGAGAAAACUCAAGUAUUAGCCAGAUCAAUUUUUUAGGAGAUGAUCUCCUUUUGUAUACUGUAGCUGAGUUGUUAACGACAAUUACUCUUAAUAUUUAAUAUAAUUACUUUUCUUUAAUUUGA